This 569-nucleotide long non-coding RNA is filed under the name Olea europaea (common olive). RNAcentral's name for it is "long non-coding RNA (OEUR_LNC010801)". The record is from RNAcentral. Lineage: Eukaryota; Viridiplantae; Streptophyta; Magnoliopsida; Lamiales; Oleaceae.
AAAACGGGCGGCUCUUUUUUUGUGUCUCUGCCUACUAUUUUCAUUCACUCUGUUGCCUUUGUGGCUAUUCUCUCUUUGUGAUUAUAGCUUCCUUUGUUUUUUCUAAGUGGUUGAACAAAGAGAAAUCGUAAGUGGAAGGGUGGUUGAAGGGAUUUUGGGUUACUUUUCACAGUGGUGUCGAUUAUUGGAAGAACUGAGCUCAAAAAAUGCUUUGGUGAUAUUCACUUCUACACAACAUCUGGUAUUAGAAGGGUGUGGGAGUUUUCAGCUAGAAAUCAUCUGACAAAUUGUCCAAAAUCAUGCCAUUUUCCGACAUGACCAAGCCUGAAAGUUGUAAUUUCGGCCAAACCACUUACCGGUGGGAUAAACCAAGACCAGGCCCAACUUCAUUAGAUAUAGGCACUUCUCCUUGUGCGGCGUGUGGUGGCAAUGGCAAUCGAUCAUGGCGACGUGUGACAACGACUUUGGAGAAGAUUUCUUUGGACAGGUUGCUCAUAUUAACUUUCUGAACGUAUUGAUAUCUUUAAUUUCGUGUUUUAGAUUUUACAGAAAUUUUAGAUGAUUUUGCC